Non-coding RNA from Paramuricea clavata, 374 nucleotides. The record is from the annotation of a GenBank genome assembly. NCBI's taxonomy places the organism in Eukaryota, Metazoa, Cnidaria, Anthozoa, Malacalcyonacea, Plexauridae.
CUCCCUUAAUGAUUUCUCCCGUCACAACUUCGUAAUAAUAAUCUGCCCCCAAUAAAAUAUCAAUUGUUUCACUCGCACCAUUAAUCUCGUCUGCAAAUUCAAGUCCAUCCAGUUGUGGAAACUCCGCUAUAUCCACUCGUGUAGCAACUGGUGAACAUAUAACUGGAAAUGCUAGGGCUCUCACUUCAAUGGUAAAAACAUCGUCCAAUCCUUGAAUGCCUAGCUCAACCAUUUCACAACUUUGUUUCUUAAACUGUUCUUCACCAAACGUGUUCAAAUGCACUGUUUCCCUUUUCCUGGUAGACAGACCUAAUCUCGAUUUUAAACUACUAGUGACAUAACUUCGCUGACUUCCUGAGUCAAAGAGAACCCUA